UCUGAAACUUAGCAAAUAUACAUAUAUAAUUAAUCAAUUAAAUGAAGGUGUGGUAACUGAGACGUUCAUCAAGGAUGGACAGAAACAUACUGUGAGAAUGUGAAUACUGCUGUUUUUCUGAUGCACUGACAUGAGAAUACUUGUGAUGCUAAUUUGACUUCAGGAAAUGGAAUUAAAGGGAGAGGCCUGAACUUGUUAUCUUUUCAACUUCUCCUCCCACACUUUGUUGUGAUGUGUGUGGAGCCAAAGCUUUUAGGUUGAGUGCAAUCAUGUGUUGCAGAGUAUGGAUCCUGCUUCUCUCUCAUCCUCACCAGAAUGUGGUUCCCUUGCUUGCAUCAUGUUCCCACCACAGCCUUUUUCCUCUUCCUUUUUAAAAACUGCAUCAAAAUGAUAACUAAAAAGAUCAAAGUCCUUUUAAGCUCCUUUUUCUCAUAACUUGGGGGACUUAGUUUCAACUAUGCAUUUAUUUCCACACAAAACUCCUUUUUGAAGGAGAACUCCAACUAGUUCGGGGAUUGAGGAAGGGGGGGAGAAGAGCCACACUCUCAAAUGAGCCACAGCCCCAGGAUCACCCUCUUUUUAAGUUAUCUGGUUGUAAACAAGAGGUCCCUUCAAAAUACACUUUCAACCACACCCCUUAAUCACAACAACCCCCCCCCCUUGCCCCUCUUGCAUGAUAAACCAUGGCAUUUGAGUGGGUGGAAUUUACAGAUUUAUUUUAUUUCAUUUUUAAUUUUUGUAGCUCUCAUGCUAACUGUUAGGUAUUUGACUUUGCCUUUGCAACAUGCAUAGGAAUGCUUUGGUAGCCUCUCUAUUGUCCAAGAGAAGAAGAAGUCUCAGUGAUUCCAAUUUUGUAAUGCAUAUCAAGGAUUGGUAGCAAUGAAGGGAGUGUGAGAGAGAGACAGAGCCACAUGAAACCAUUCCAAAUGCAAUGCUAGCUCUUGGUGAAAGGGUGGUGGCAUUGCCAUCUUGGAACCCAUCACCACUGGAAAGCCUUCGAAGGAAAUGACAAAAGAAGGAAAGUAAGGGAAAAAAGGAAAAACGGAAGCACUGCAGAGGAAAAUGCAGAUAAGUGAAAAAGUAUUCUUAAGAAAAAAAGUCACAGCUAACUUUCUGAAGUGCUAUUGUCUGAUUUCAUGGUUUUUCCAAAAUAAUUCAAUCUGAUGAGAAUGGAAAGAGAUUUUGGCUGCAUGACACACCCAUUCAUACAUGUGAUUCAUUUUUAUUAUUUUUUUGAAAGAAAACUGCUAGAUUUUUUUAUUAUUAUUAUUGUUUUUAUGUGAAAACAUGUUGAAUGGUGGAUGUUUACGAUUGUGGUAUGUCUAUUUUCAGGGUGACGUCCAAAAUAGUAACUGACCUUAAAUUCAGGAGAAAAGUGUUGGCCAAUUUUUUUGUUCAUAUAUUGAUAUAGAUGAUUGAAUAAUUGAAACUAUGUGUAGUAUAGUUGUUGCUAAAUCAAGACAUACACUAUGAAAUUUAAUCAAAAAUUAAUACAAGGUAAUAAUUCAAGAAGUUUUGCUUUUAAGAAAUUAAGCAGUCUUUGUACAUUAGGAGACAAGAUGAGAGGUUGCAACUCUUCAU
This 1581-nucleotide long non-coding RNA is filed under the name Physcomitrium patens. RNAcentral's name for it is "long non-coding RNA (PPAT_LNC003334)". Lineage: Eukaryota; Viridiplantae; Streptophyta; Bryopsida; Funariales; Funariaceae. The record is from RNAcentral.